This 1369-nucleotide ribosomal RNA is filed under the name uncultured bacterium. Its description in RNAcentral is "bacterial SSU rRNA". It matches the Rfam family "Bacterial small subunit ribosomal RNA", at positions 28 to 1381 of the family's 1533-position model. The record is from RNAcentral.
GAUGAACGCUGGCGGCGUGCCUAAUACAUGCAAGUCGAGCGAACGGACGAGAAGCUUGCUUCUCUGAUGUUAGCGGCGGACGGGUGAGUAACACGUGGAUAACCUACCUAUAAGACUGGGAUAACUUCGGGAAACCGGAGCUAAUACCGGAUAAUAUUUUGAACCGCAUGGUUCAAAAGUGAAAGACGGUCUUGCUGUCACCUAUAGAUGGAUCCGCGCUGCAUUAGCUAGUUGGUAAGGUAACGGCUUACCAAGGCAACGAUGCAUAGCCGACCUGAGAGGGUGAUCGGCCACACUGGAACUGAGACACGGUCCAGACUCCUACGGGAGGCAGCAGUAGGGAAUCUUCCGCAAUGGGCGAAAGCCUGACGGAGCAACGCCGCGUGAGUGAUGAAGGUCUUCGGAUCGUAAAACUCUGUUAUUAGGGAAGAACAUAUGUGUAAGUAACUGUGCACAUCUUGACGGUACCUAAUCAGAAAAGCACGGCUAACUACGUGCCAGCAGCCGCGGUAAUACGUAAGUGCCAAGCGUUAUCCGGAAUUAUGGGCGUAAGCGCGCGUAGCGGUUUUUUAAGUCUGAUGUGAAAGCCCACGGCUCAACCGUGGAGGGUCAUUGGAAACUGGAAAACUUGAGUGCGGAAGAGGAAAGUGGAAUUCCAUGUGUAGCGGUGAAAUGCGCAGAGAUAUGGCGGAACACCAGUGGCGAAGGCGACUUUCUGGUCUGUAACUGACGCUGAUGUGCGAAAGCGUGGGGAUCAAACAGGAUUAGAUACCCUGGUAGUCCACGCCGUAAACGAUGAGUGCUAAGUGUUAGGGGGUUUCCGCCCCUUAGUGCUGCAGCUAACGCAUUAAGCACUCCGCCUGGGGAGUACGACCGCAAGGUUGAAACUCAAAGGAAUUGACGGGGACCCGCACAAGCGGUGGAGCAUGUGGUUUAAUUCGAAGCAACGCGAGGAACCUUAUCAAAUCUUGACAUCCUUUGACAACUCUAGAGAUAGAGCUUUCCCCUUCGGGGGACAAAGUGACAGGUGGUGCAUGGUUGUCGUCAGCUCGUGUCGUGAGAUGUUGGGUUAAGUCCCGCAACGAGCGCAACCCUUAAGCUUAGUUGCCAUCAUUAAGUUGGGCACUCUAAGUUGACUGCCGGUGACAAACCGGAGGAAGGUGGGGAUGACGUCAAAUCAUCAUGCCCCUUAUGAUUUGGGCUACACACGUGCUACAAUGGACAAUACAAAGGGCAGCGAAGCCGUGAGGUCAAGCAAAUCCCAUAAAGUUGUUCUCAGUUCGGAUUGUAGUCUGCAACUCGACUACAUGAAGCUGGAAUCGCUAGUAAUCGUAGAUCAGCAUGCUACGGUGAAUAUGUUCCCGGGUCU